Phalaenopsis equestris is the source of this 790-nucleotide long non-coding RNA. RefSeq lists it as uncharacterized. The record is from RefSeq and is a predicted model, not a curated record. The transcript is spliced from 3 exons. Lineage: Eukaryota; Viridiplantae; Streptophyta; Magnoliopsida; Asparagales; Orchidaceae.
CCUUCACCUGGCUCCCAGGGCACCACCAUCAAAUGCGCUGAAUCUUCGAGAUUUGGAUCAAGCAUCGCUUUGCCAACAUGUUCAUGAUAGAACGUUAGAGGGGUGAGCGACUUGGCUAAAUUGGUGAGUGGCUCUAGGGUCAGUUAACUACAACUUGGGCCUUUCUUAUUAAGAGUGGAGGAAGCAGACGAAUCGGGCGAUGGAGGGGGCCAGGGGAGUUACGCUUCAUAUUGGCGAAUCAUUCCCCCAUAUUGAGUACUAUAGGAGGCAUAUCUGCAUGUCUGAACUCAUCAACGUUAGGGGACUAUGCAGUAGGUCUCGGAGCAAUCCUGUCGGGCUGCUCUAAGAGAAAUUCGAGUAGCUCUGGGAGAGGCACUUAGGCACUCGGGCCCAGACUGACGCCAGCAACAGUGGUAGUCAGUCUGUCACUGUGCGGUCUGAGUAUGAGCUUUGGACCCAGGCGGAAGAAAGGAAGAAGAAAGGUUUAUGGCCUUGGAGUGAAGGGCAUAGCCUUCGAGGUCGAGCUCUACUUUGGUCCCGUUCUUAGUUCUCUGAGCUUUUCACAGUCAGACCAUGAGGCUCUUGUCAGGCAAGUGGCUGCAAAGAACGAAGAGAUUCACCAAUUGUGUGAGCAGAUGCUACAAAGCCACAUAGAGUGAAGGGCUCUAUAGCACGCAUGACGAAGACCUUAGCAGAUAGCAGGGCAAGCAACCAAUGACAUCCAUGCCAGAGGAGGAGGAUGGAGAUGGUGAGUAGUUUUUCUUAUGUUUUUUUUUAUUUGUAAACAUUA